RNAcentral lists this long non-coding RNA (268 nucleotides) under Elaeis guineensis (African oil palm). RNAcentral describes it as "long non-coding RNA (EGUI_LNC045106)". Lineage: Eukaryota; Viridiplantae; Streptophyta; Magnoliopsida; Arecales; Arecaceae. The record is from RNAcentral.
UCGAAGUCGAGGAUGAAGUUCGGCUUCCGUAGGAGUCCGGGCAAAGUCUACCUGCAAUUGAAGUCGGGGGCGAAGUCCGGCUCCCGUAGGAGUUCAGACGAAGUCCACCUGCAAUUGAAGUUGGGGGCGAAGUCCGGCUCCCGUAGGAGUCCGGACGAAGUCUUCCUGCAGUCGGAGUCGGGGAUGAGGUCCGACUCCCGUAGGAGUCCGGAUGAAGUCUACCUGCAAUUGAAGUCGGGGGUGAAGUCCGGCUCCCAUAGGAGUCCGG